ACACUUUGCUAUACAGUAAAAUUGAUGCCCAUGUCUGAACAAGCCCAUUAUAGUUCAUCACAGGUGAGUGACCCGGUAGGUUUUUGUCACACUUACCGGCCCCUCUAUAUAAGGGCCAGAGCUGCCAGCUCAGCUCACAAGAUGAGGACAUCCCACCAGACAGGUUGGCUGUCUCCUACGGAGCUGGUGCUCCAGCUGCGGAGAUCUUGAAAGCCAUAAUCUUCUCCGGAAAUGGCAAGGUACAGACGCAGCAGGAGCAGAAGCAGGAGCCGUCGCAGAAGGCGACGAAGGGGAGGCUGCGGAGGUCGACAUGGAAGGAGAAGACGAUGACAUGGCAGAAGGAGGAGAGGUCGUAGAGGUAGUGAGCAAACUCACAGGAGGAGGAGGAGGAGGAGAAGGAGGAGUUUUUAAUUUCCUGAUUUCUCCCAUUCUCCUGUGCAAGUCAUCGACCCUCCACACUGCAACAUCUGCUAUGGCAAAAAGAAACAUUCCUUCAGUGACAAUACCCCGCGAUGACAUCCCAAGAUGGAAGGAGCCUGCUACCAGUUGAACAAUACCACCUGUCAAUAAACUUUGAAAUUUCA
Molecule: long non-coding RNA, 584 nt
Organism: Mauremys reevesii (Reeves's turtle)
Lineage: Eukaryota; Metazoa; Chordata; Testudines; Geoemydidae
Exons: 2
Source: RefSeq, a predicted model, not a curated record